This 252-nucleotide ribosomal RNA is filed under the name uncultured bacterium. RNAcentral describes it as "partial 16S ribosomal RNA". It matches the Rfam family "Bacterial small subunit ribosomal RNA", at positions 524 to 775 of the family's 1533-position model. The record is from RNAcentral.
UACAGAGGGGGCAAGCGUUAUUCGGAAUUAUUGGGCGUAAAGGGCGCGUAGGCGGCCUGGCAAGUGGAAGGUGAAAUCCCUCGGCUUAACCGAGGAACUGCCCUCCAAACUGCUUGGCUUGAGUCCGGGAGAGGUGAGUGGAAUUCCCAGUGUAGCGGUGAAAUGCGUAGAUAUUGGGAGGAACACCAGUGGCGAAGGCGGCUCACUGGACCGGAACUGACGCUGAGGCGCGAAAGCGUGGGGAGCAACGGG